GGAGGGGCGGGAGGGGAGCGGGCCGGUCAGAAAGGGACUCCUUCAAGCUGGCUGCAGUGCGGACGGGACCAGCGCGCUCUCGGAGCCUGCGGACCGAGGUAGUCAGACCUGUCCUGACAGCCGGAGGCCUACGUGAGGGGUGGCCACGGAAGGAGGGGGUCUCAGAGGCCACAGGAACUGAAGAAUCUGAACACAUGAGCUCCGGAGUCCCCGAGAGACAGAGAGAGAGAGAAGGCAUGAGCAGGGGAGAGAGACAGAGGGAGAGGGAGAAGCAGAUUCCCCGCUGAGCUGGAAGCCUGACACAGGGCUCAAUCCCAGGACCCUGAGAACAUGACCUGAGCCGAAGGAGGAUGCUUAACCAUCUAAGCCACCACAACAGCAGCCUUUAAUUGGAGUGUUUAAUCAAUUUCCACUUAAUGUAAUUUCUAAUAUAGUUGAGUUUAAGUCUAUCAUCUUGUUAUUUGGUUUCGAUUUGUCUUAUCAGACUUUGUUCCUUUUCUCCUCCUUCUUUUAUAAUAACUAGUAUUCUGUAGCACAGUCUUAAUCUUCUAUUAACUUUUAACAAAACUGCUUGAUUUUUAUUUUUUCUGUU
This is a long non-coding RNA of Mirounga angustirostris (Northern elephant seal), 592 nucleotides long. RefSeq lists it as uncharacterized. NCBI's taxonomy places the organism in Eukaryota, Metazoa, Chordata, Mammalia, Carnivora, Phocidae. The transcript has 3 exons. The record is from RefSeq and is a predicted model, not a curated record.